CAGAGGGAGGCCUUUGCUGUGUCAAUGUAUAUGUCCAAUGAUUUACAUUCUCUGCACUUUUUGUUAUUAGAACCGGUAUUACAAGCACUUUGCUUGUCUGCCCUUGUCUGUUUCCCUUGGAGGAUACUGGAAAAGUAAAAUUAAAAUUAUGAAUUCCAUUUUCUCUCAAAUGUCAUGUGGCUUUAUAGUUGAUAGUCCAGUUGAGCUGUGAGGGCUAUGAAGACAGUACUUCUCUCUGCCAUUGUCUCAAACUUCCUGCAGGCUCCAGAGGACAAAGUGGUAUUUGAUGCUCAGAAGAAUGGCUGUAUUGAGUGGGACAAAGUCUGCCUCGCUCAGUAUUCUGUCUGAGGAUGACCAGUAUAAGGAACAGGAGAAGUAUAGAGAGCCUUUCCAGCAGUUUGCUUGGGAAUUUCCUGAGGAGAUCUUCAUUUGUAUUUGAAUACUGCUUGGCAAUUACAACCAAUCUUCAUUUAAAAAUGUGAAACAUGAAUGUUGUGGGCUGUAAAUAUAUGAAGUAGUGCGCAUGUCAGUAACUGCAGGGAGGGCAGGAUUGGCAGGGGGCUGAAGUAAAAGCUUUUUUUCUUUCCUGUUAGAAGCCGAUGUUGCUUUCAACUCUCACAUUAGUGAAAACAGAGGUAAGUGGAGUCCAGUUAAGGCCCCAGCGACAGGUCAGCUUUACUGCUUAAUUGAGCUAUGUUGGAGGUGAAAAUCUGAAGUACUGACGUGUGCUUUGGAGUACCCCUGAGCUGCGCUUCAUACUUAAGGCUUCUCACCAGACCAAUAACUUACUUUUUUUUUCCCCUGUGAUUGGAGUUCUCAGUAACUGAAGGAACACUGUCCCAGCAAUGAUGGUACUAGUUUUAUGGUUGCAAGUGAGGAAUGAUUAAAAUCUGCCCCAAAAUAAAAUUCAGUUAUUUUAUAUAUAUGGGAAGAAGCUAGAAAGAAGUGAGUGGACUGAAAUAAAAGAAACGCUUACACCUUAUUUUGGAGUUGGUAAGUUGAUUGAAACGUACUCUUAAAUCAUCUUAAGAUCAUUGAAGAGGAAGAAUAUACAGCUACCAUUAAAUUGGUGUACUUACAUUGACAAUUUUGCCUAUUUAGGCAAUAACUUGCCCUAGCAUUAGUUGCUUGUUUUCAGUCAGAAUGAGGGAUGUCGCAGAUACCAGAGUCCUGAAAGAAACUAGAGACUGUGUGUUGUGGUUCAACCUGAGCUGAAAAUGAAUUACCACACAGCUGCUUGCUCACUCCCCCUUUGGUGGUGUGGGAGGAGAAUUGGAAAAAAAUGUAAAAGCCUGUGGGUUGAUAUAAGAGCAGUUUAAUAAUUGAAAUGAAAUACAAUAAUUAUAAUGCAAAUGGAGAUAAUAAAAAAGAAAUAAAACCUAAGACAGACAAGUGAUGCACAAUACUAUCACUGGCAGCCACCUGCUGACUGAUGCCCAGCCCGUUCCAGAGCAGACAUUGGUACUUCCCAACCAACUCCCCCCAGUUUAUAUACUGAGCAUCAUGUUCCAAACAGUUCAGAGUAUUACUAUUCAUUCCCUGGUAUAUCUUAGAGUAAAUAUUUUGUGAAUAAAGUUGGGUUAUCUUUUGGGUUCUGAAAAUUUUAUUAAGCUACCUAUUACCUAUUGCAAAAAAAAAAAGAUGUUUGGUUUGUGGGAAUUAAUGCUCCCCCUUCUUUGUGUUUUACGGAUUAUAAACUGCAUAAUAUAAAACAAGUAAGUUUAACAGUAGGAACAAGAGUUACUUUCAGAACAUCUUAAAAUAGUAUUUUAUAAACUAUCACAGUGCUGAGAAUGUUCCCCCCCAAAAAAAAUUAAGGGGGGGAAGGAUGGGGAAGGACAGUGUCUGGGUUUUUGAAAACAUGUUUUUGAAGAAGCACUCUUACAGUUGCCAGAAUUGGCUUGUUUUCACUUAUGUGUACUUGAACUUAACAAGUUCUGUUGCUAAUGAAAAGUCAUUCAGCAUAGUUUCUGCUAAUUUGAUGUACAGGCUGUAAUGCUGCUAGAAACCUUUUUUUCCAGGUAAAGGGAACUUUAUAUGAUGAUCCUUUGGCAGGGUUGACUGCAAGGUGUUUUGUUGUGGUUUCGCCUUUUAUUAACUGCUAUGGCAAGACGACUGGAAAUUAUGUGGAAGGGAAGUAUUUCUUUCUCCACUUACAUGUUGAUACUGGGCUCUUUGUGCUGGAAAGUUCCAGGCAAUAAAGUAGGAGUUAGGAAAAUGUGGAAGGUAAGUAUUAUUUUAAGUAAAGAUCUUUCCUACUCAACGAUUAACAUAAAAAUCAACUGCACUUCUUUGCAUAGUAUUCUCGGAAGAACCAUAACCAUAUUUCUUGUUCAGAAAUAUAUCAAUUCUGCAAAAAUAGGCUCUGUUGCACUUGUUGCUCUUCUCCUUGACUAUUUUGAAGGCUGGCUAGGAAACAGGCCCCUCAUUUCUGCCUUUUUAAUGAAUUUGAAUGUCUGUGAAGAUGAUAGCCUUUUCUAUAGCAGCAACAAAAAGAAGGAUCAGCAGAACUGGCAUCCAGCCUUGGAAGCAAAACAUUCUGAGCUUCUGCUAGAGCUUCCAAUAGAAAUAUGAUGAAGAGGUUUUAAAAAAUUCCUGAGCUGUCUUUAUUUCAUAUAUAAUCUAACCCUACCUCUCAAAUGCAGUCCUAAAGAUAAAUAACACAGAAAAUGUUCUCUCUUGGGCCAAGCUGAGACAAUCUCCUGUUGUACUGCCAUUUAACCUUAAUUUGAAUUUAGCAAUCUUUGCUGGGGAGCAUAGACUGAUUGCUUGCUGAGAAAUAUGACUAGCAAUUGGGCAGUCAGAGCCUGAGGGAAAAUGCUGAUGUGUUACCAGCACUGUUGCUGUCAGCCUGAGGCUGGAAGAACCCACCUGUGUUACCGUGGCUGAGUUGUUGAAAGCAGGUGAACUGCUAAGCUGGGAAUGUCUUGUGUUUGUUUUCGAAAGGUAUUUGCAUCAACUGUGCCUAGCCUACAAAAGUUUAUACCUCAAGCACCCUCCUUUCUCAUUUCUGUUCUAAUUCUUUUUUUUCUUUUUUUCCCACUGUGUGCUUAGACUGGAGUUCAUAGCACUGUAGGCCAGAAGAUUCUUCUGCUUGUUGGUUAUUGCCUCGUUUGGCCACAGCAGAUCUGAAACUGGUUAACAGUUUUCAUGCAUCAUUGAAUUUACUAACCAGGACUGAUCUUUUAAUAUAAGUUUAAAGUGGUUAAAAAUAAAUGUUGGCACUAAAUUACAAAGAUUUACCUUUUAGUGUACAUGAGAAGAUCUCUUGAGUAAGAAUCGAUUGAUUGAUUGAUUGAUUUAGUUUUCUUGGGAGACACUUAAGCUAUUGUUGUGGCAGUAAAAUCUAAAAGCUCUUGAACUGGAAGAGUUGAAAGAAUUUAGGAACUCCUGCAGUUAAGUAUCAUCAGUGAUUUUAACAAUUUUUUAAUUGAUAUUUAUAUUGAUCCUGCUGGAACUAAGAAUUGAUGUAUUGGCAGUAAAAAUAUCCUCACACAGUUGCAUUGACUUCUCUUACUGCUCUGUAAGCGCCUCCAAACAUUGCUAUCCAUAGGUACAUAACUCCAGUUGGAAAACACAAGAGCUACUAGAAGUGUUUUGGUUAACUUGAAUGUGGCAUCAAUAAACAAGUUCACAGGUUUAUCAGCUGUGUAUUUAACUGCAUCAGUCAUAAAGUGAUCAUUUUUUUAAUUGACCCUGAUUUAAGUUUUCAAAGUGAAACUUCGCUGUAAUCAUUCUUACUUGCUGUUACUUUUAAGAUCUAAACUUUAAAAAAGAAAAACCAACCCUGUAUAUUUUUACAAGAUCAAAGAGACACUUCCAAGUUUAUUUUCUGAAGGCAGAUUGAAAGCAUAAUGUUCUUCAUAUGUCUCCUGCAGAUCACAGAAUAGCAAUUUAUUCUUUUUUCUAGUGCCCAGUUGCUAGGUAAAAUUAAAACUUUGCUUCCCUAAAGAACUAAAUUAUUGCUUCUAGUAGCAUAAUGCAGCUGUAUUAGUUGCACUGUAUUAACUUACGAAUUUGUUCCGGUUUCAGAACAGGUUAUGCUGCCUGUACUGCCCCGUGCAAAACAACAGAGAUACCUGGCUACUGCUACGCAAACUUAUACACGUGUGCUGAAACUGUGUGUUAGCUUAAGAUCGAAUUCUGGUAUAUCUCAAGGCCAAUGUAAAAGUAUAGAGUAAAUCUUCUGAAAGAAGGCUAUUAAAAAGCAGCAAGUAGAGCCUGAGUAGCAGUAGUUCCUCCUCCUUGUGCCCUAGUCUGGAGUUUGUGCUCUAAAUAAGAACUCCCUUAGUGCAGCAUACUCCAGGCAUAUUAAAAAAAAAAAAAAAAAAAAAAAAAAGGAAAAUAGAAAAAGCAGUCAUAUACAGAAGGUUGUAUUGUCUGCUCUUGGGAUCUGCAGAAAUGCUGCAUUUAUGUAGUCACUUCCUCCUUGUACCUGGCAAGGACUGUAAGGGGUGGGAGGGUGGAGAUUGUUCCAUUCUUACAAAGACCUUGAAGACAGAAGGUUAUUUGGGCUCACCCAUGCUUGAAAGGAUUUUAGAUUGUUAGUUACAUGUUAAGCAGCCUGGAACACUUAUUCUGGAAGCUGUGUAUUGCAACUGCUGCAUCAGGCACUUUCCCUCCUGAGUAAUCAGCAAUGUCAUUACGAGUCAACUAAACAGUCCUGGGACAUGAGCUCAAUCACUGGAAACAGGUCAUCUGUGCCACUGAGGGUUAACGCAGUCUGACAACUGAAGCCUGGGCCAGCUAGCACACUCCCACAUAUAAUACUUGGGCAUGGGUUAGAGGUUAAGGUGGAUGAGAGUUUAGCUGUGGGAAUGCAAGCUGCAGAGUCCAUGUUUGCCUUACGGCUGGAGAAGAGCCUGUAACCUCUCCCAUCUACAGUAAGGCUGUGUGGCCAGUGCCUGUGCUCUCUGGUGCGCUGGGCUCUCCUGGGAGAGAGGUCCAGCCCUCAGGGACAAUAUUCUGUGACCUAGUGACAUCGUGUCUGCCUUUGGAGAUGGGCUUAGUGCACAAAGGAACUCACAUGGGGUUAACUGGAUUUGAAGGGUCCCCCUUCUUUUGUUCCACCCUUCAGCUGGCUUUGUGAGUGUGCUGGAAUCCCAAUGGCUGCUAGUCAGCACAGGCAUGUAAGGGCAGGGCUGGAUGGGUGUCCGGUGCGGAGGAAGAUCUAAAUAGAGCAGGAAGGUCUGUAUUGACACUUCAUUUGUGGCUCUGCGCUGCUCUCAAGUGCAGCUUCAGCACUUGGCUCUCUCGCACUGCGCAAGUGGACAGGACAGCACUACUGUCCUGAGAUGACUUUGAGAUAUUCUGGAAGACGGAUACUGAUGAGGAACAUGCUCUGCAGUUCUCCUGCAUGAGUCCUUCUCAUAAGGCAGAACAUAGUAGGAUAUGGAGGAAUCUGUUUCCUCCAGCCCUUCCAUGCUAAUUUGAUGAAAACUUAGGGGAGCAACAACUCUUUGGUCACUUCUUUGCUGAAUAUCUUGUCUCCUCUUUUCAUGGAGCUUUGCCAGGCACUGACCUAAUGGUAACACUCCUCUAUGUAACAGUUUAAAGCAUCAGAUGCUCAGGGGAACCCACUUUUUGGCAUGGAAAAGGCAGUAGUAG
This is a long non-coding RNA of Strigops habroptila (Kakapo), 5607 nucleotides long. RefSeq lists it as uncharacterized. The record is from RefSeq and is a predicted model, not a curated record. Lineage: Eukaryota; Metazoa; Chordata; Aves; Psittaciformes; Psittacidae. The transcript has 2 exons.